GCGCCCGUGGCUCAGUUGGAUAGAGUAUCUGACUACGAAUCAGGGGGUCACAGGUUCGAAUCCUGUCGGGCGCGCCA
RNAcentral lists this transfer RNA (77 nucleotides) under Deltaproteobacteria bacterium. RNAcentral's name for it is "tRNA-Arg". It matches the Rfam family "tRNA". From Rfam's summary of the family: Transfer RNA (tRNA) molecules are approximately 80 nucleotides in length. Their secondary structure includes four short double-helical elements and three loops (D, anti-codon, and T loops). The record is from RNAcentral. Lineage: Bacteria; Pseudomonadati; Myxococcota; Myxococcia.